RNAcentral lists this ribosomal RNA (484 nucleotides) under uncultured bacterium. RNAcentral describes it as "partial 16S ribosomal RNA". It matches the Rfam family "Bacterial small subunit ribosomal RNA", at positions 30 to 507 of the family's 1533-position model. The record is from RNAcentral.
AUUGAACGCUGGCGGCAGGCCUAACACAUGCAAGUCGAGCGGAUGAAGGGAGCUUGCUCCUGGAUUCAGCGGCGGACGGGUGAGUAAUGCCUAGGAAUCUGCCUGGUAGUGGGGGAUAACGUCCGGAAACGGGCGCUAAUACCGCAUACGUCCUGAGGGAGAAAGUGGGGGAUCUUCGGACCUCACGCUAUCAGAUGAGCCUAGGUCGGAUUAGCUAGUUGGUGGGGUAAAGGCCUACCAAGGCGACGAUCCGUAACUGGUCUGAGAGGAUGAUCAGUCACACUGGAACUGAGACACGGUCCAGACUCCUACGGGAGGCACCAGUGGGGAAUAUUGGACAAUGGGCGAAAGCCUGAUCCAGCCAUGCCGCGUGUGUGAAGAAGGUCUUCGGAUUGUAAAGCACUUUAAGUUGGGAGGAAGGGCAGUAAGUUAAUACCUUGCUGUUUUGACGUUACUAACAGAAUAAGCACCGGCUAACUUCGUG